Triticum aestivum (bread wheat) is the source of this 72-nucleotide non-coding RNA. Lineage: Eukaryota; Viridiplantae; Streptophyta; Magnoliopsida; Poales; Poaceae. The record is from Rfam.
UGGAGUAUAGCCAAGUGGUAAGGCAUCGGUUUUUGGUACCGGGUUGCAAAGGUUCGAAUCCUUUUACUCCAG